RNAcentral lists this ribosomal RNA (1419 nucleotides) under Salmonella enterica subsp. enterica serovar Thompson. Its description in RNAcentral is "partial 23S ribosomal RNA". It matches the Rfam family "Bacterial large subunit ribosomal RNA", at positions 1534 to 2925 of the family's 2925-position model. The record is from RNAcentral. Lineage: Bacteria; Pseudomonadati; Pseudomonadota; Gammaproteobacteria; Enterobacterales; Enterobacteriaceae.
AGGUAAAUCCGGUUCACUUUAACACUGAGGCGUGAUGACGAGGCACUACGGUGCUGAAGCAACAAAUGCCCUGCUUCCAGGAAAAGCCUCUAAGCAUCAGGUAACAUCAAAUCGUACCCCAAACCGACACAGGUGGUCAGGUAGAGAAUACCAAGGCGCUUGAGAGAACUCGGGUGAAGGAACUAGGCAAAAUGGUGCCGUAACUUCGGGAGAAGGCACGCUGACACGUAGGUGAAGUGAUUUACUCAUGGAGCUGAAGUCAGUCGAAGAUACCAGCUGGCUGCAACUGUUUAUUAAAAACACAGCACUGUGCAAACACGAAAGUGGACGUAUACGGUGUGACGCCUGCCCGGUGCCGGAAGGUUAAUUGAUGGGGUCAGCGCAAGCGAAGCUCCUGAUCGAAGCCCCGGUAAACGGCGGCCGUAACUAUAACGGUCCUAAGGUAGCGAAAUUCCUUGUCGGGUAAGUUCCGACCUGCACGAAUGGCGUAAUGAUGGCCAGGCUGUCUCCACCCGAGACUCAGUGAAAUUGAACUCGCUGUGAAGAUGCAGUGUACCCGCGGCAAGACGGAAAGACCCCGUGAACCUUUACUAUAGCUUGACACUGAACAUUGAGCCUUGAUGUGUAGGAUAGGUGGGAGGCUUUGAAGCGUGGACGCCAGUCUGCGUGGAGCCGACCUUGAAAUACCACCCUUUAAUGUUUGAUGUUCUAACGUGGACCCGUAAUCCGGGUUGCGGACAGUGUCUGGUGGGUAGUUUGACUGGGGCGGUCUCCUCCUAAAGAGUAACGGAGGAGCACGAAGGUUGGCUAAUCCUGGUCGGACAUCAGGAGGUUAGUGCAAUGGCAUAAGCCAGCUUGACUGCGAGCGUGACGGCGCGAGCAGGUGCGAAAGCAGGUCAUAGUGAUCCGGUGGUUCUGAAUGGAAGGGCCAUCGCUCAACGGAUAAAAGGUACUCCGGGGAUAACAGGCUGAUACCGCCCAAGAGUUCAUAUCGACGGCGGUGUUUGGCACCUCGAUGUCGGCUCAUCACAUCCUGGGGCUGAAGUAGGUCCCAAGGGUAUGGCUGUUCGCCAUUUAAAGUGGUACGCGAGCUGGGUUUAGAACGUCGUGAGACAGUUCGGUCCCUAUCUGCCGUGGGCGCUGGAGAACUGAGGGGGGCUGCUCCUAGUACGAGAGGACCGGAGUGGACGCAUCACUGGUGUUCGGGUUGUCAUGCCAAUGGCACUGCCCGGUAGCUAAAUGCGGAAGAGAUAAGUGCUGAAAGCAUCUAAGCACGAAACUUGCCCCGAGAUGAGUUCUCCCUGAGACUUAGAGUCUCCUGAAGGAACGUUGAAGACGACGACGUUGAUAGGCCGGGUGUGUAAGCGCAGCGAUGCGUUGAGCUAACCGGUACUAAUGAACCGUGAGGCUUAACCUUAC